UGCCAGCAGCCGCGGUAAUACGGAGGAUGCAAGCGUUAUCCGGAAUGAUUGGGCGUAAAGGGUCCGCAGGUGGCAUUGUAAGUCUGCUGUUAAAGAGUUUGGCUCAACCAAAUAAAAGCAGUGGAAACUACAAAGCUAGAGUGUGGUCGGGGCAGAGGGAAUUCCUGGUGUAGCGGUGAAAUGCGUAGAUAUCAGGAAGAACACCGGUGGCGAAGGCGCUCUGCUAGGCCAAGACUGACACUGAGGGACGAAAGCUAGGGGAGCGAAUGGGAUUAGAUACCCCAGUAGUCCUAGCCGUAAACGAUGGAUACUAGGCGUAGCUCGUAUCGACCCGAGCUGUGCCGUAGCUAACGCGUUAAGUAUCCCGCCUGGGGAGUACGCAGGCAACUGUGAAACUCAAAGGAAUUGACGGGGGCCCGCACAAGCGGUGGAGUAUGUGGUUUAAUUCGAUGCAACGCGAAGAACCUUACCAAGGCUUGACAUGUCACGAAUUCCGUUGAAAGAUGGAAGUGCCUUCGGGAGCGUGAACACAGGUGGUGCAUGGCUGUCGUCAGCUCGUGUCGUG
This 565-nucleotide ribosomal RNA is filed under the name uncultured cyanobacterium. Its description in RNAcentral is "bacterial SSU rRNA". It matches the Rfam family "Bacterial small subunit ribosomal RNA", at positions 506 to 1069 of the family's 1533-position model. The record is from RNAcentral. Lineage: Bacteria; Bacillati; Cyanobacteriota.